UACAGAGGUCCCGAGCGUUGUUCGGAUUCACUGGGCGUAAAGGGUGCGUAGGUGGUUGGGUAAGUCUGAUGUGAAAUCUCCGGGCUCAACCCGGAAAUGGCAUUGGAUACUAUUCGGCUAGAGGUUUGGAGGGGGGACUGGAAUUCUCGGUGUAGCAGUGAAAUGCGUAGAUAUCGAGAGGAACACCAGUGGCGAAGGCGAGUCCCUGGACACAUAUUGACGCUGAGGCUCGAAAGCAUGGGGAGCAAACAGG
This 253-nucleotide ribosomal RNA is filed under the name uncultured bacterium. RNAcentral describes it as "partial 16S ribosomal RNA". It matches the Rfam family "Bacterial small subunit ribosomal RNA", at positions 524 to 776 of the family's 1533-position model. The record is from RNAcentral.